Molecule: ribosomal RNA, 645 nt
Filed under: Triticum aestivum (bread wheat)
Lineage: Eukaryota; Viridiplantae; Streptophyta; Magnoliopsida; Poales; Poaceae
Description: partial small subunit ribosomal RNA
Source: RNAcentral
AUGAGUGCCUGCUUCUCUGACAUGAUAAAGGAUCAUUCCCUAGAUUUCCUUUGUCUUCAGGAGACUAUGAAGAAGAAGUUCCCUCCUAAGAAUCUCAGGAAUAUAGACCCCGUGACUCAAUUUGAUUGGAAUUGGAUUCCAUCAAUUGGCAAAGCAGGGGGACUCUGUGGUAUUAAGAAGGAGACCCUAGAAGUUAUAUCUUGGAUUCCUGGUAGAUUUUGUUUGCAGGCCAACCUUUAUGAUGUUAACCGUAAGAUUGUCUGGGCUCUCAUUACUGUAUAUGGAGCAGCCCAUGAUGACAGUAAAGAUGACUUUCUGGUAGAACUAUCCGCGAUGUGUGCUCACACACAUGCCCCGUACAUAGGGGGGGAUUUUAAUAUCCUCAGAGAGGCCUGUGAUAAAAAUAAAACCUUGAAUAGAUCCCCUUAUGUGGAUAAAUUCAACUCCAUUAUAAACUCUUUGAACCUUCGAGAGAUUUAUAUGGGGGGUGGCAAGUAUACGUGGACUAAUAACCAAAAACACCCUACUCUGCAAAAACUCGACAGAGUCCUGAUGAGCUUUGAAUGGGAGGAGAUAUUUCCUUUGGUCACGGUUCGUAAACUGGUGAGGGGUGUUUCGGACCACAAUCCACUUCUUUUGUCCUCG